GAUGAAGAACGUAGCGAAAUGCGAUAAGUAAUGUGAAUUGCAGAAUUCAGUGAAUCAUCGAAUCUUUGAACGCACAUUGCGCCCGCCAGUAUUCUGGCGGGCAUGCCUGUUCGAGCGUCAUUUCAACCCUCAGGCCCCCAGUGCCUGGUGUUGGGGAUCGACCCAGCCUUCCUGUAAGGCCGCCGGCCCCGAAAUCUAGUGGCGGUCUCGCUGUAGUCCUCCUCUGCGUAGUAGCACAACCUCGCAGUUGGAACGCGGCGGUGGCCAUGCCGUUAAACACCCCACUUCUGAAAGUUGACCUCGGAUCAGGUAGGAAUACCCGCUGAACUUAAGCAUAUCAAUAAGCGGAGGA
This 352-nucleotide unclassified non-coding RNA is filed under the name soil metagenome. RNAcentral's name for it is "partial contains 5.8S ribosomal RNA, internal transcribed spacer 2, and large subunit ribosomal RNA". The stretch from base 1 to 120 matches the Rfam family "5.8S ribosomal RNA", at positions 35 to 154 of the family's 154-position model. The record is from RNAcentral.